AAGAACUUCAAGAAGGAGCUUUUGGGAGACAAUGGAAUUAAGACGACCCCCGGCAAGUUAAGGCCCCUAUGCACUGACCACUCAGAAUAGUCUACAUUUACCCAUCUCUCCAGCAGAAAGGUGUCGCUAUGUGACUAAUUUUCACCAAUAGAAUAUGAGCAAAAGUGAUACGUGUAACUUUCAGUAAGUAUCCUUAAAGGGGAGGAGAUGUGUUCUUUUCUUCCUCCUUUCUGAUGGAUGGAAUGUGAAUGAAACAGCUGGAGCUCCAGUAACUAUCUUAGACUAUAAAGUGACUUCAGAAAAGAACAGAAUCCAUGCAGAGAAGUGCAACAACAUGACACCAUGACAGACAGACCAUACCAGUCCUAGACUACUUUGGGAAUUCCUGACGUUGAGCGAAAUACACUUCUAUGAUGUUUAAA
Prionailurus viverrinus (fishing cat) is the source of this 422-nucleotide long non-coding RNA. RefSeq lists it as uncharacterized. The transcript is spliced from 2 exons. The record is from RefSeq and is a predicted model, not a curated record. Lineage: Eukaryota; Metazoa; Chordata; Mammalia; Carnivora; Felidae.